CCGGGAGAUCAUGACCUGAGCCGAAGUCAGAUGCUUAACCGACUGAGCCACCCAGGCGCCCCCGUAAUUUGCAUUUGAUUGCCUCAAAAUCUUCAGUUUGUUGUUCUGGUGUCUUAAUUAACUGAUUAUUUAACUGAAUAACAACUAGGGAAGUAGAUCAUAAAUGUGAGGACUUUCCUUGUAAGAAGCUCACAGCUCUUUUUUUCCAUGAUGUGUCCUUUCUAGCACCAUCCUCUUGGCCUGUGAAGCCGACCUGCCUCUCUGCACUGGACACAUGCUUGAGCUCUCGCCACACACUUGUUCAUGGGCGCUGCAAGAGGAGGGACCCACAGAGCUGGAGCCGGGAGGGCUGGCACAUUGGACUGAGGGCUGGCAGAACUCUUAGGGGGAUCUUGCCAUCCCGCAGCCCCAUGUCUGGCUCCAGGAGAAUUCUGUUAGUGAAGUGAUUGCACUUAAAACCCAAAAUUAACUUGAACUGAAUGUUACUGAAAAUGAAAGAGGUUAAAGUGCCCCGCUCCUGCUUCAUCCGCAGUCAUUAUGAAGGAGAUCCACGGUCUGACCUAGCUUUGGGAGAGCGGGUCUGUAGCCACAUGCCCCCUGGUCACAGAGGUCUCCGUGAUCAUCCUCCUGCCCAGAUGCCACUCUCGAUCCCCUUCACAAGUUUCUCUUUUUAUAAGAGCACUCACCUCCAGGGCAGUGAUACAGUUACGUGUUGGUCACUGUCUUGUCUCCUACGAGAAUGGAAGCUCCACGAGGGCAGGACCUCCAUCCUGUUCAUCCUCGUGUUUCCAGGGCCUGGCACCGUGUACAGUCUAAAUAAAUGCUGCUGAGUGAAUGAAUGGAUCAACUGGCAUUGCAUCCUUUCUGAAUGUUUCCUUUUAAUUUGUCUUUUUACAUAUAACUUUUAAAAACGAUAAACAGUGAAACUUGGUAAAUAUAAAAAAUUUGUUGUGAUUGCAGUGAGUGGCACAGCAUGUUUAUGAGAUGCCAGAGAGAAUCAGGACUUUAGAAUUAGGAAUUACACAUUCAUUCUCUGUUCCGGUAUCCAUGCCUCCUGAUGAAGACGUAGAGGAUAGAGAUGUAGGAGAGACGUGAGCCACAUCUCUGGAAUACAGUCACACCUCAGAGAUCUUGCAGUUCUGGUUCCAGAUCAUUGCAAUAAAAUGAGUAUCACAACAAAGCGGGUCCAAUGAAUGUUUCUGUUUCUGGUGCACAUAAAAGUUAAGUUUAUACUGUGGUCUCCUAAAUGCAUAAUAGCCUUGUGUCAAAAAAAAAAUGUACGUGUCUUAAUUAAAGAAUACUGCUGAAAAAUGCUAA
This is a long non-coding RNA of Herpailurus yagouaroundi (jaguarundi), 1317 nucleotides long. RefSeq lists it as uncharacterized. Lineage: Eukaryota; Metazoa; Chordata; Mammalia; Carnivora; Felidae. The record is from RefSeq and is a predicted model, not a curated record. The transcript is spliced from 2 exons.